UAAACCACGAUAGGUCACGAUUUCUGGAAUGGAUCAUGGCCUAAAUCUACAUGGCCCCUGGAUUGGACUGCGGCCGAUCAGGCAGUUGGUGAGGUAAUGGCCCACCAAACCUAUAACCGGUACGGGCUCUGAGAGGAGAAGCCCGGAGAUGGGCACUGAGACAAGGGCCCAGGCCCUAUGGGGCGCAGCAGGCGCGAAACCUCUGCAAUAGGCGAAAGCCUGACAGGGUUACUCUGAGUGAUUUCCGCUAAGGGGAUCUUUUGGCACCUCUAAAAAUGGUGCAGAAUAAGGGGUGGGCAAGUCUGGUGUCAGCCGCCGCGGUAAUACCAGCACCCCGAGUGGUCGGGACGAUUAUUGGGCCUAAAGCAUCCGUAGCCGGUUCUGCAAGUCUUCCGUUAAAUCCAGCCGCUCAACGGAUGGGCCGCGGAGGAUACUAUAGGACUAGGAGGCGGGAGAGGCAAGCGGUACUCAGUGGGUAGGGGUAAAAUCCUUUGAUCCAUUGAAGACCACCAGUGGCGAAGGCGGCUUGCCAGAACGCGCUCGACGGUGAGGGAUGAAAGCUGGGGGAGCAAACCGGAUUAGAUACCCGGGUAGUCCCAGCUGUAAACGAUGCA
Molecule: ribosomal RNA, 614 nt
Filed under: uncultured Thermoprotei archaeon
Lineage: Archaea; Thermoproteati; Thermoproteota; Thermoprotei
Description: bacterial SSU rRNA
Rfam family: Archaeal small subunit ribosomal RNA
Source: RNAcentral